Non-coding RNA from Pelobates cultripes (western spadefoot toad), 209 nucleotides. The record is from the annotation of a GenBank genome assembly. Lineage: Eukaryota; Metazoa; Chordata; Amphibia; Anura; Pelobatidae.
UGGGCACUCUCUUACUUUAUGAGGUUAAAUCAUUUUCAAAUGGUUUAACUCCAAAAUUGUGUCUCUGGGCACCCAUUCACACUGCCUCCUCUCUUCUUCUCAUAGCUAUUUCACUGAUAAGGAAGGGUUGAGCAUACAUACUGUUUUUUUUUACAAUGGCCAUUGAUAGGCUGAAAGUAGGGGCUGAUGUUCCCAGCCUCACCUAUCAC